UUUCCGACAGCGGUGCUCUCGGGUGCGGCGGCUCUCCGGCGAGGUUCGUGUUUUGGUGAUUCGGCUCCGAUCAACCUGUAGAGAAAAGAAUGAUGAUCAUGGUGAUAUAAAAAUUGCAUCAAACGGGGGCCGGGAAGGGCCUCAUCGGAGGCAAAAACUGAGGAGGGUCGCGGCGGCGCGGCGGGGUUUCAGCCAUGUUUUUCUACCGUUCGGCUGGGAUUUUGGCUCUGAUUUGGCCACAGGGGAACUCAGCGUGGAAAAACAAGUCGGGGGUAUGAAAUUUACCUCGAUCGACGGUCAGAAAUCUCCCCGGUGCGGUGGCGGGUGGCAGCGGACGGCUCCUCCGGCGUCUGGUUCGUCUUCUCCGACGAGGGCAGGCGGCUAGGGUUUUUGUGGUCAAGUGUGGGGGUUCUAUUUAUACCCUUUUGCCUUUUG
This 435-nucleotide long non-coding RNA is filed under the name Carica papaya (papaya). Its description in RNAcentral is "long non-coding RNA (CPAP_LNC001342)". The record is from RNAcentral. Lineage: Eukaryota; Viridiplantae; Streptophyta; Magnoliopsida; Brassicales; Caricaceae.